GCCGGGUGUGAUGGCUCACUCCUGUAAUCCCAGCACUUUGGGAGGCUGAGGUGGGCGGAUUACCUGAGGUCAGGAGUUCAGCCUGACCAACAUGGUGAAACCCCGUCUCUA
Molecule: unclassified non-coding RNA, 111 nt
Organism: Macaca fascicularis (crab-eating macaque)
Lineage: Eukaryota; Metazoa; Chordata; Mammalia; Primates; Cercopithecidae
Rfam family: Metazoan signal recognition particle RNA
About the family: The signal recognition particle (SRP) is a universally conserved ribonucleoprotein.
Source: Ensembl